This is a non-coding RNA of Pelobates cultripes (western spadefoot toad), 258 nucleotides long. NCBI's taxonomy places the organism in Eukaryota, Metazoa, Chordata, Amphibia, Anura, Pelobatidae. The record is from the annotation of a GenBank genome assembly.
CUCUCACCAGGGAUGAGGAACAACUCCUCAUGAAAGGACUUUCCUUUGUAACUAAUCCCCCUAAUGCAUUUGACAGUGAAAUUGAACUGUUUAAAUUUGGGAGAAAUCUGCGUUUGAAAGAAUUUUUUAAAGGGACGGUACAAUCUACUGAUUCCAAUAUGCACCAAUUCAGAGUUAAGAGCACAUUCGACCCUGCAACUUCUCAUGCUUCUAUUAAAACUUUCUUGAGAAAUGUACAACAAGAAAUGAACAAAGCAG